This is a long non-coding RNA of Fukomys damarensis (Damara mole-rat), 629 nucleotides long. RefSeq lists it as uncharacterized. The record is from RefSeq and is a predicted model, not a curated record. The transcript is spliced from 4 exons. Lineage: Eukaryota; Metazoa; Chordata; Mammalia; Rodentia; Bathyergidae.
GCGCCCAGGAAUGUUCAAGGUCCUGGCUUGGUUUCAAGUCUGCAAGGAAAAGACAGUGGGCUGCAGACCAGGGAUUCCGACUGAUCCCUAUGUCUUGGGGAAAGCUGGUCUUGCUCCAGGAACUCACCACGGUCAGAACUCAGCCCAGGGCCACACCUGACCACAGGAGGCUGGGGUGCAGCGUUGCUGUGUGACCACGAAGCAGACAGAACAGUUGGAUGAACCACUGGGCCAGUCUAACUCAUUCUCCAUCAAGGAGGGGUUGUUCUGCUGGAAUGCACCGGGCAGCACGCAGCAGGAGUGAACUACGGUGACUUCGCCCUUGAAGCGUGACAUAUAUGCGUCCGGUUGGGAGACAGCAAACGGAGCCCUCUUAGUGCCAGACCCAUCUGUGUCAGCUGCCCCGAAGCCCACCACAGCUCUAGAGACACAAACCAAGUGUCGUUAUUGCUUCAGAUCUUUCAAGCCGGACUUUCUCUUCCUUGAAGAAAAAAAUCCUAACUCAUAAAACCAAAUUCUUGGAUUCUUUAGCCCCGUACAUACCCGACAAUGGAUUUGACCACAUUUAUCUCCUCAGACCAAGACGUGGGAAUAAAAUUAACAUGAGCUGAUCAAACAUGGCAGACACC